AGGUAAGUACUUCUUUUAUUUUAAAGUUUUUGGUCUCAUUUUGUACGUUAUUAGCUUUCACUUAUCAAGUUUCAGUAAAUCGAAAAUAAUUCACAUCUUUCUGGAUGGAUUCCAGCAAAAGUCAAUAAUAACAGUUUGUGUAUCUGUAUCAUGAGUACUAUUGCUUCUAAAAGUAUUGUUCUAGAAACCAUAGAGUGUAAAAGCAAUUAAAAGACCGUACUGUAUUAUUAAAGAUUUCAAGGAAUGGAUGGAUAAAUAGAGAUGCUACUAACAAUUUCCUAAGCAUGUGAAUGAUAUCUGGUCUAAACGUGUCGACUUGUACAAGUGGUCUUUUCAACAAAAGUAUACUUCAAAAACAUUAAAAAUUGUUUGCAGUUAAAAGCGCAACCAGAGUAGGAAACUGUAAAAUUAGACUGUGGUAUUGUUAUAAUACUAGUAAAAGUACUAUUCAUAUUUUAGCCAAAAUGUCGAAUACGUUCGCUCCAUUGUGGGUGCUACUCCAGUAAGAAAAGCACUGCCUCACUUCUUUUUAGAAAACACUCUGCCUUUCAUAAAUUGGGAUGGCCGCCAGAAAAAAUGUCCAGUUAAAUCUCUAAAAUUUUUUAAAGAAAUUGUGUUCUGAAUGGAUUUCGAAAAAUUCGAUCUUGAAAUGAGGAGAGGCUUUCGGAUUUUUAAAAACAAAUAUAUAAAAAUAAUAGUGUAC
This is a long non-coding RNA of Teleopsis dalmanni, 703 nucleotides long. RefSeq lists it as uncharacterized. The transcript is spliced from 3 exons. NCBI's taxonomy places the organism in Eukaryota, Metazoa, Arthropoda, Insecta, Diptera, Diopsidae. The record is from RefSeq and is a predicted model, not a curated record.